Molecule: ribosomal RNA, 478 nt
Filed under: uncultured bacterium
Lineage: Bacteria
Description: partial 16S ribosomal RNA
Rfam family: Bacterial small subunit ribosomal RNA
Source: RNAcentral
GACGAACGCUGGCGGCGUGCUUAACACAUGCAAGUCGAACGGUAAGGCCCUUCGGGGUACACGAGUGGCGAAAGCGCGAGUAACACGUGGGGGAUCUGCCCUGCACUUCGGGAUAAGCCUGGGAAACUGGGUCCAAUACCGGAUAGGACCCUGGGAUGCAUGUCCUGGGGUGGAAAGUUUUUGCGGUGUGGGCUGGGCCAGCGGCCUAGCAGCUUUGUGGUGGGGUGCUGGCCUAACAAGGCGACGACGGGCAGCCGGCCUGAACGGGUGACCGGCCACGCGGGGACUGAGAGACGGCCCAGACGCCUACGGUGGGCAGCAGUGGGGAAUAGUGCACAAUGGGCGCAAGCCUGAUGCAGCGACGCCGCGUGAGGGAUAACGGCCUUCGGGUUGUAAACCUCGUUCAGCACCAACGAAGCGCGAGUGACGGUAGGUGCAGAAGAAGGACCGGCCAACUACGUGCCAUGAUCAAACCCUC